Molecule: ribosomal RNA, 503 nt
Filed under: uncultured bacterium
Lineage: Bacteria
Description: partial 16S ribosomal RNA
Rfam family: Bacterial small subunit ribosomal RNA
Source: RNAcentral
AUUGAACGCUGGCGGCAGGCUUAACACAUGCAAGUCGAGCGGGGUGAUGGUGCUUGCACUAUCACUUAGCGGCGGACGGGUGAGUAAUGCUUAGGAAUCUGCCUAUUAGUGGGGGACAACACCUCGAAAGGGAUGCUAAUACCGCAUACGUCCUACGGGAGAAAGCAGGGGAUCACUUGUGACCUUGCGCUAAUAGAUGAGCCUAAGUCGGAUUCGCUAGUUGGUGGGGUAAAGGCCUACCAAGGCGACGAUCUGUAGCGGGUCUGAGAGGAUGAUCCGCCACACUGGGACUGAGACACGGCCCAGACUCCUACGGGAGGCAGCAGUGGGGAAUAUUGGACAAUGGGGGGAACCCUGAUCCAGCCAUGCCGCGUGUGUGAAGAAGGCCUUAUGGUUGUAAAGCACUUUAAGCGAGGAGGAGGCUCUUUUGGUUAAUACCCAAGAUGAGUGGACGUUACUCGCAGAAUAAGCACCGGCUAACUCUGUGCCAGCCGCCGCGGUAA